RNAcentral lists this ribosomal RNA (410 nucleotides) under uncultured bacterium. RNAcentral's name for it is "bacterial SSU rRNA". It matches the Rfam family "Bacterial small subunit ribosomal RNA", at positions 354 to 776 of the family's 1533-position model. The record is from RNAcentral.
GUGGGGAAUAUUGCACAAUGGGCGGAAGCCUGAUGCAGCGACGCCGCGUGAGGGAUGACGGCCUUCGGGUUGUAAACCUCUUUCAGCACGGAAGAAGCGAGAGUGACGGUACGUGCAGAAGAAGCGCCGGCUAACUACGUGCCAGCAGCCGCGGUAAUACGUAGGGCGCAAGCGUUGUCCGGAAUUAUUGGGCGUAAAGAGCUCGUAGGCGGUUUGUCGCGUCUGCUGUGAAAGCCCGGGGCUUAACCCCGGGUGUGCAGUGGGUACGGGCAGACUUGAGUGCAGUAGGGGAGACUGGAAUUCCUGGUGUAGCGGUGAAAUGCGCAGAUAUCAGGAGGAACACCGAUGGCGAAGGCAGGUCUCUGGGCUGUUACUGACGCUGAGGAGCGAAAGCAUGGGGAGCGAACAGG